RNAcentral lists this long non-coding RNA (7777 nucleotides) under Manihot esculenta (cassava). RNAcentral describes it as "long non-coding RNA (MESC_LNC001824)". The record is from RNAcentral. Lineage: Eukaryota; Viridiplantae; Streptophyta; Magnoliopsida; Malpighiales; Euphorbiaceae.
AAUUUUAUUUUAAGUAUUUGCACAACUGAUAAUGAUUUAACUGCACUAAAGAAAAGUCAACCAAAAACUCUUUCUAAAAGUUUACUACACACGAAAACUUGAUUCAUGAUUAGAUAGAAUGUCUGAUGGGGCCAGACUAUAUCAUCUUUGCAAGAAAUCAUAAAGUUGGAUGUUGAAAUCAUUUACUUAAGAUUCAGGGAGGCCAAGAAUACCAACCUAGAGAUGUACUAUGGGAAUAUUUAGAUGGCUUUACAAAAAGAACAGCUGAGGACAAAACCUAGUAGCAAACAAACAAGGAAACUCUCAGGUCUGUUGGAUUUGCACAACUAAUUACCUCUUAUAUAUACAAUGAGUACCACGAGCAUGCCUAAUAAGCGGCUCAUUCGACAUGUGAUGAAGUUUUCAUUCCAUUUCCACACUAAUCGCUCUUUAAGGUCAAACACGACAGUAUGAGCAGCUCAAUUAAAUAUAUAAACGAUGCUUCAAGCUAAAAUAAGCUAAAUACUCGGACAUAAUCGAAUGCAAGAACUGGUUUAUGGAAAGACAGAAGUCCAUUUCAUAUAAUAUCAAAUAAGUAAUGACAGAACAACAACAUGACAAAAACUAAAUUCCUUAAUGAGUGUAGAAAGUGUGAAGCUAACUAUAUAUCAAAAAAGGCAAUCAAGCGAAGUAUCCCAAAGUACCUAUUGGCAGCAUGGACUGGAGAUGCAGGAGCAUCAAUAUCCAAUGUAGCUGGGAUCUCCAACAUACUCUGCAAUUUGUUCAAGUUUGACAUUGAGCAAUUCUUGAGUAUCAGAAUCUUGCACAAUCCCAGUCUCUUGGUCCAAAUCCCUCUGAACCAAUUUCCCAUAUACUCCCUUGUGCCUCCCGUAGAGAACAAGGACAGGACCCCCACGCCGUGGUAAAGCAGUCUCAAGAAGAUCCUGAUCUAUUCCCUGUACCAAUUCCUUAGUCUCAUCAAUCGAUAUAUCACAUACAUAAGGUCCAACCACAUCUACCACCUCCCCCUUCUUCAAAUAAAAUCUGCCUCCUUUCAGGUCCUUGCUUAUAAUUCUGACCCGAAUGUGAUUGCUGAGCCAUCGCUUUCUGUCAUCCUUCGCUUGACCGCUGUCUCUCCUCAUACUUUCUCCGCUUUCUCUAGUUGGUUCAAUAAUGCGCUUUCCAUUGUCCCUAUCCUUUGAUUGCUUUCCUUCUAUCUGUAACGUUUUUAACUUCAUUAAGCACUUCUCUUCUUCCUUAGAGCCCAAAUCAGCAAUAUCAGAAACACGCAGUUUUAGUUCCUCCGUUGUUUCUGAAAGUUUGACAACAACCCGACCAUCAUCUAGUCUCUUUGAAAUUCUACCCUUUGAACCCAAAAUGCCUUUUCCACCGGCAAUAACCCUGACAUCUUUACCAACAAAGAAACCAUCACUAUGUCCGUCCUUAACUCUUUCUCUUUUCCUCUCGUCUUGCCCGUCUCUAUCCUUAACACUAGUACUAGUAGCAUUAGAAGCAGGAGGAACAAAACCCAAACCUUCUUUAUCAGUCCUUUUGUGGUAUUGCUUGACUUUAACAUCUUCCUUAGCAUUUCUUCCGAUACCUCUGCCUUCAUGCCAACCAUAGCCAGCCAGUAAAGCCGCGCCAAACCCUUCCACCGGUACAUCCUUAAACUCCUCAAAUCCUCGAUCCUCAGGCAACCGCUGGAGAUCGUACUUCAACUUCUCCAACAACAAAUUCUCAGUAGUUUCGACUUUCUGGUAAGAUUUGACUCCUUCGUCACCAUCGCCACUGUCCCCGUCAGUGCUGCUUUGCUGCCGUAUAUUGAGACCGUAGGACAUACUCUUAUCGUCCUCGCCGUGGCCAUCGGUGGCGAUCUCGAAGCGAAGGCCUUCGUUGUCGGAUUUGAGAGUGGGAAGGAGGUCGAGGUUCUUCAUACGCUUGUGAGGCGUCCAUUCGUUCUCUUUAGGGGGGAUGAUGAGAUUCCGAUUGGAACUGGGUAGGGUUUUUGAGGGAUCAAAUUCAGUGACAUAUUCUUUUACAGCGCCACUGUUUUGGCUAACAGUAUUGGAUUCAGAGGAAGGUUUAGGUUUAGAUGUGGAUUUGGCGGCCGAUUUAGGGAUUGAGAAGGAGAGCUUCAUUGCCUCUAGAAUUUUGGAUGAAAAUUGCAACACCGACGCUUUGGUCUUCCUCCACGCCGCUGCUGCAAUUCUAUGAACCUCCCCCUUUUUGUUUAUAUGACUAUUUAGGCCAAACGUCUUGAGAAAUUUACGAUUCUAACCCUCUGUUUAUAUUAUAUUCACUCCAUCCAAUAAUUUUUUUAUUAUCCUACAAUUAUUAUUCACUUAUUUUUUAAAAAUUAUAAUAAUAUGUAAAUUAAUAAUUAUAACUCUAUUUAAUUUAAAAUAAAUUAUAUUUUAAUUUAUAAAUUUUAAUAUAAUUAAUAAAUUAAUAUUUAUAUUUUUAAAACUGAAUAACUAAAUUUAUUUAUAAUCGGUCUAUUCAAAUUAGAAAUUUUUUUAUCUAUUUUAAUUGUUAAAAUUAUAAAAAAAAACUUUUUAUUAUCUUUUUAAAUAGAUAAAAUAUAUUUAAUCCUUUAAAUUUUAUUAUAAUUAAUAGAUUUGUUUCUAUAUUUUUAAAAACAUACACUUACAUUCUUCUAUAAUUAGUUUAUCUCAUCAGCUAUAAUUUAAACAUUUUUAUUUUUUAUUUUUUAUUUAAAAAAAUACUUAAAUUUCUAUUAAGUUUUAUAUAUAAUAUCUCAUUCAAUUAAUUUUUAAUACUUCUAUUUUUAAUUUUUAUUUAUUAAAAUAUUUCAAUACUUAUAAUUUUAAAAUUUUUAAAAAAUAUUUACUAUUUUAACUAUUUUUAAGUAGUACCAAAUAAAUUUUAAAUAGAUUAUAAAAUUUUAUAAAGAAUAUUUUAGAGAGAAAGUAUACUUUUAAAAAAGUUUAAUUAUUCUAUAAUAGAUGAAACCGUUGUAAUUUUAAAUAGAUUAAAUAUAGAGAAAUUUAAGAAUUUAAUUUUAAAAAUAAAAGAAUGAAUCUGUCAAUCACGUUAAAAUUUAAAAAUUAAAAUAUAUUUUAUACGAUAUAAAAUUAUCAUCUAAUAAUUUUUCACAAUAGUAUUUUAAAUAUUUGUAACGCUUAUUCAUUUUAUUCUCCCUUUAACCGAUUGACAAACUAAAUGAUUGUAUAAAAAUUUAAAUAUUUGAUUUUAAAUAUACAAUUUAAAUAUUUGAUUUUAAAAAUAUAGAAAUUAAUUUAUUAAUUAUAUUAAAAUUAAAAAAAUAAAGUAUAAUUUAUUUUUAAUUUUAUUUUAUUUUUUAAAUUUUUAAAAAAUUAUUUUAAUAUUUAAUAAAUUUUAAUAUAUUUAAAAAGAUAUAAUUAAAAAAAUAAUAAAAAAAGUUAUAUUUCUUAUAAAAAAAUAAAAUAAAUAAAAAUUAUUAUAUAACGGAAAGAAUUGUAUUAUAAACCUAUCAUAUAAAUACUCACCUGCUUAAUUUGGUGUUAAGUGUUUAGAUUCUACUCUACUAAUCUCCAAUUUUUAUUUUUUUUUUAAAAAAAAACCUAUCAUAUAAUAAAUUAAAUUAAUUUUUAUUUUCUAAAAUUUUCAUUAUCAAAUCUAUAUGCGAUUCUCGCAUAUGCAAUUGUCUGACAUUCUUUAUUUUAUUAAUUAAAAAAAUAUAAUAAUAUAAUAUAUCUUUUCUUUUUUUGAUAUUUUAGAUUACAUUGGUAAAAAAAAAUCAUAAACAAAAUUUUCAUAUUGUAGAGAUUGUAAUUUCAAACUCUAUUGCCCAUUUAUUCUUAGGGAAGUUUACAAUUUAGUCUUCAACAAAUCGUUCCUUUCAUCAUCCACUGUUACUCUCUCUUUUCCAUUAAAAACUAAGAUGAAAAGGAGAGAGAAUAUUUUGAAAAUUCAAUUUUAGCCUUUGGCCUUCCUGCGUUUAUUGAAGAACCCACCAUCCACACCUUCCGGCUACCUCCUCAGCUAGUAAAAAAAGAUUACCAGCGACUCUACGAUUACUUCUACUCCUCCGCCGGAUCCCUCCUUGACGAGGCUGAGAAGAUGGGUCUCUCGCGAGAAGAAGCUCGUCACAAUAUCCUUUUUGCCACAUGCUUUAACACCUUCGGAAGCCUUAAGAUCUUUUUCCCGAACAUACUCAAGUGGAUCGGUCAUGCAGGAGUGAAGCUUCAUACCCAAUUAGCCUAAGAGAUCAGAUCAGUCCUUAAAUCCAACGGAGGACAGAUCACGAUGGCUGCUCUGGAACAGAUGCCACUAAUGAAAUCCGCUGUGUACGAAGCAUUCCGUAUCGAACCGCCGGUACCAGCACAGUACGGGAAAGCAAAGCGUGAUUUGGUCAUCGAGAGUCACGACGCAGCUUUUGAAGUAAAAGAAGUUGAAAUGAUAUUCGGGUACCAACCAUUCGCGACGAGAGAUCCGAAAAUAUUCGACAGACCCGAUGAGUACGUUCUGGAUCGAUUCGUCGGCGACGGAGAAAAGUUAUUGAAGCACGUGCUGUGGUCAAACGGACCAGAGACAGAGCAUUCAACGGUGGGAAACAAACAGUGCGCGGGUAAAGAUUUCGUGGUAUUUAUAUCAAGACUUUUCGUGGUUGAAUUAUUUCGACGAUACGAUUCGUUUGAAAUUGAAGUUGGAUCAUCGCCGUUGGGGUCUUCCAUCACCAUUACGUCGUUGAAGAGGGCGAGUUUUUAAGGCGGCUGUGGAAUAGUAAUUAAAGAAAAAAAUUUAUAGGAAAAAUUCGGAGUCGUCUUCACAGAUCUCGACUUCAGCAUCAGUUAAAAUUAAUUAUAAAAAAAAAAAAUCGAAGGAUGUCUCAGCGCAGGCAUGCUUGUAAUAAUUGAACUAAAAUUUGCAGGGGGGCAACGAUGUCGGGGUGGUGAAAGGGAUCUUUGCUUCUAUCAAUUAUAAUUUACAAUCUUCAUGUGCGGUUGAGAUUGAAUGGGAUGUUCUUUAAUUUAUGAAAUGUAAUUUAUGAAAGGUAGCCGGAAGGUGUGGAUGGUGGGUUCUUCAAUAAACGCAGGAAGGCCAAAGGGUAAAAUUAAAUUUUCAAAAUAUUAUUUCUCCUAUUUUAACAGAAAAGAAGCUAAUAGUGAAUGAAAUGAACAAUUUGUUAACGGGAUCGAUUUGUUAACACGUUUUAAUAGAUUUCUAAAAAUACAGGAACUGAAUUGUUAAUAAUGACAAUAAUCAGAAAUUAAAUUAUAAAUUUACAUUAUUUCUAUUUACCUAUGUGAAAGAGGUUUUUAAAAGAAGCCAAUGAAAAACUAACAAGUGGCAUAUUUGUACCAAUUAUUUUUCAUAUUUAAGUUGUAUUUUCAUUUUGUUCUGCAUCCUGAUACGCUCACUCAAGCACAAAGAACAACUCCUCUUUAACCUCAUAUGUACAAGUAGAUGAUGAAAUCUCCUCUUAAUGAAUCUAAACCAAUAUUUGGCAUGUGUGAAAAACAUCUUUUUAAUCAAAGGAAUUACCCCAUUUGAUUGAUCUAAACAUCAGAAAUUUAGAAUAGACUAUCUUUAAGGCUUCCCCCAGCGAGCAAAUUGAAAAAUGAUUCCUCUUUGUUGCCACUGUCCAUUUCAGAUUCUGCAGAAUGAAGACUUGUACCCGUUGUACUAGAAGUUGAGGUUACCGGUCUUUUAACUGAGAUGAAUGCUGCUGUUGAGGGUGCAGGUCUUUUAACCGAGACAAAUGCUACAGAUGCCGAACUCGACCUUGGUGUCAAAGUUUUAGAGCUUGGAGAUGAACUUGAGAUUGGAAGCAUGUCACCUUCUGGUGGGAGUUUUUCAUCUGGAGUUCCUGCAUUAUCUGGGUUAUCUCCCAGGUCAACACCACCUUCAACUUCCUUCCUGUCCACUCCGUCUUUGGCAGGACCCUCAUUCAAGUCCUCAAAGUCAGAAUCAUCUUGUAUCCCGAAAAAAGUAGUAUGAGGGAAUAUAGCAACAAAAUCAUAAAGGCAGCAAAAAUAUUAAGGGAAGGAAAAAAAGAAUGAAGAAUGUAGCAAUCUAAGAUUACAAUGAAGUAGAGUAAAAAAAGGUGCUAAAACAUGUAAAGACAGCGAAUAUAAAUCAUAAGCCCAUGCCUAGAACUUCCCAAAAAUCACUACAGCAAUUGCAUAUAGUUGACAAAUAGCAACCCCUUGACAAAAGACUCACGCCAUAUGCAUCAAGGAUUUUGUUCUCCCCAACUUGUAUGCACGUUGAACAGUUUAAGCAGUUGAUAGGAAAAGGUUGUAUAUUUUCCAAGGUAUUUGUCAUGUUAGCAUAUUGCCAAGGUUCUAAUUUAAGGCAUGUUAAUUAAUGCCUAAUGGCUGAUCUACAUAUUCACUAUUCACAUUUAUAACUAGAUUCUAGAUUCUAGGUAUAAUUGCACUACACCAAGCUCCAGUGAGAGUUAAGGAGUGGGAAAAAAAAAAGAUUUCAUCGUUGUUUGAUUCUGAAAGGAAAUUAGCGACAAUCCCAAUUAAUUAUCAAAGAACAAUUCAUCGUUUGAAUAAAUAAUCAAGAUAUUCAUCAAUAGGAAUUUCUCAAACAAACUGGUGUUGCACUUAAUUAAGCAAAGUCAGGUUAAAGUUUUAAUGAGUGCAUAACUACUGUCUGCAAAAGGCAAUAGUUGAUAUUGAUGAAGAUUAUGCUGCAGUUGUACAGUAAAUAAAGUUGCACGCAAUCACCAAACUACUUGGUCAGUUGGUCCUAAAUCUCCCUCACCCGUUUCUCUUUUCUCUUCAUAUUUAAGCAUACAAAUCACCUCUAGCUAACUAAACGCCUCUACUUUUUCUAGAUAAACGGAACAAAAAUUCAGCUAGAAAUCUAAUCAACAUUUAUGUGAAUGCAUCCAUUUCUGAGAUAUGGUGUCCAAAAAACUGGCGCAAGUGAUCCCUUGGAGUUCCAAAAUGAUGCUAGACACAUCUACUUUAUGCCAUCCGCUCUUCUAUUUAAUCUCAAUCAUAGCUGAGUUCAGCUCCUCUGAAACCAACAGUGGAAAGGCCUCAGUAUUUUUUUCACCCAGUUUUGUGGACUUGGCCAAAAUCUAUAUUCAAGUUACAAUUACAACUUCUAAUGCAUAACCUCUUUUUUGCCUGCAUGAGAACAAGCCACCUAAAAUAGAAUAUUCAUCAAACUUACUUUUGUUAUGUAAAUGCAUAAUACAUGUAAUCCACAUCAAGAUACCUAAGAUCCCAUGGGGAAAAAAAAAAGAUAAGGUAAGAAACAAAAAGAAAAAACUCAGAAUAUCUGGAUUUUUAUUUUAAGUAUUUGCACAACUGAUAAUGAUUUAACAGCACUAAAGAAAAGUCAACCAAAAACUCUUUCUAAAAGUUUACUACACACGAAAACUUGAUUCAUGAUUAGACAAUGUCUGAUGGGACCAGACUAUAUCAUCUUUGCAAGAAAUCAUAAAGUUGGACAUUGAAAUCCUUUACUUAAGAUACAGGGAGGCCAAGAAUAUAUACAUAGAGAUGUACUAUGGGAAUAUUUAGAUGGCAUUACAAAAAGAAGAGCUGAAGACAAAACCUAGUAGCAAACAAACAAGGAAACUCUCAGGUCUGUUGGAUUUGCACAACUAAUUACCUCUUAUAUAUACAAUGAGACCGCAAUCAUGCCUAAUAAGUGGCUCAUUCGACAUGUGAUGAAGUUUUCAUUCCAUUUCCACACUAAUAGCUCUUUAAGGUCAAACAUGACAGUAUGAGCAGUUCAAUAAAAUAUAUAAACGAUGAUUCAAGCUAAAAGAAGCUAAAUACUCAGACAUAAUCGAAUGCAAGAACUGGUUUAUGGAUAGACAGAA